Long non-coding RNA from Cavia porcellus (domestic guinea pig), 818 nucleotides. RefSeq lists it as uncharacterized. Lineage: Eukaryota; Metazoa; Chordata; Mammalia; Rodentia; Caviidae. The record is from RefSeq and is a predicted model, not a curated record. The transcript is spliced from 2 exons.
UGGGUACUGCCAGCCCCCUCCAGGGCAGGAAUGAUGGUAUCUGAGGGGGGCUCCUGCCUUGAAGCAGGGCUGGGUGGCCUGGACCAUGCUGCAUUUGAAAAAUCAGGUUAACUGGGGUCCACUUUGCGCUGACCAAAGUGGUCAUCCUUUGGGGCACAGUUAGGUGCGCUGUGCAGACUCAGCUCUGUGGCCACAGUCACCAUGUCGCCCUGGAAACCACCCCAAGACCCUGGACCUCACGCUCAGACCCUGAACUGGCUCCUGAACUCAGCCUGCAGGUGACAUGUAGUUGUGUAGGGGUUGCAAGCACCAGUAGUUGGUCUGUCCAUGCCCAGCGGGCUUGCAGCGGGGGCCUUGCUUGUUUCCAAAGGCUGAAUUCACGGAAGGCACUGGGAUUCGUAGUCUAGAGAGCAGACCCUGUGCCCAGUGCCCCGGGGAGGCAGUGGAGCUCCCGGGUACCACAUGUUGGGGCAGCCACCAGGGGAACCACGUGGUAGCUUCUUCCAGAAUGAAGCCUACCAUGACGUCCGUGCCAUCCACAGUAAAACAGAAUUCACAGCAGCAGCCCAGGCGGCCUUCGUCGGCAGGCCAGCCAGAGAAAGCCGCACUGCUCACUGACCCCUGCCCGGUCCCACGGGAUGCUGCUGCUCCUGAGCUGACACCAUCCCCCCCAGCCUCACCGUGCCGCCAAUGGUCUCUGCCCACCCUUCCUGGGUGGCCUGCUCCCCUGUGGAUGGGUGCUACCCUGCCUUCUGGCUCCGGGACCCUGUGUCACACCUUUGUGUUGCCUGCAUUGUAAAAGCUCUGUCCUGUCUCGA